UAAGGAAUAUUGGUCAAUGGACGCAAGUCUGAACCAGCCAUGCCGCGUGAAGGAAGACGGCCCUACGGGUUGUAAACUUCUUUUGUACGGGAAAAAAUCUCCGGUCGUGAAUCGGAGCUGAUGGUACCGUAAGAAUAAGCAUCGGCGAACUCCGUGCCAGCAGCCGCGGUAAUACGGAGGAUGCAAGCGUUAGCCGGAUUCAUUGGGUUUAAAGGGUGCGCAGGCGGAAUGAUAAGUCAGUGGUGAAAGCCUACGGCUCAACUGUAGAACUGCC
RNAcentral lists this ribosomal RNA (274 nucleotides) under uncultured prokaryote. RNAcentral's name for it is "partial 16S ribosomal RNA". It matches the Rfam family "Bacterial small subunit ribosomal RNA", at positions 355 to 625 of the family's 1533-position model. The record is from RNAcentral.